CGAAAGAAAGAUUAAUACCCGAUGUCAUAGUCCUACCGCAUGAUGGGAUUAUUAAAGAAUUUCGGUAUGGGAUGGGGAUGCGUUCCAUUAGUUAGUUGGCGGGGUAACGGCCCACCAAGACAACGAUGGAUAGGGGUUCUGAGAGGAAGGUCCCCCACAUUGGAACUGAGACACGGUCCAAACUCCUACGGGAGGCAGCAGUGAGGAAUAUUGGUCAAUGGACGAGAGUCUGAACCAGCCAAGUAGCGUGAAGGAUGACUGCCCUAUGGGUUGUAAACUUCUUUUAUAUGGGAAUAAAAUGUUCCACGUGUGGGAUUUUGUAUGUACCAUAUGAAUAAGGAUCGGCUAACUCCGUGCCAGCAGCCGCGGUAAUACGGAGGAUUCGAGCGUUAUCCGGAUUUAUUGGGUUUAAAGGGAGCGUAGGUGGAUUGUUAAGUCAGUUGUGAAAGUUUGCGGCUCAACCGUAAAAUUGCAGUUGAGACUGGCAGUCUUGAGUACAGUAGAGGUGGGCGGAAUUCGUGGUGUAGCGGUGAAAUGCUUAGAUAUCACGAAGAACUCCGAUUGCGAAGGCAGCUCACUGGACUGCAACUGACACUGAGGCUCGAAAGUGUGGGUAUCAAACAGGAUUAGAUACCCUGGUAGUCCACACAGUAAACGAU
This 659-nucleotide ribosomal RNA is filed under the name uncultured bacterium. RNAcentral describes it as "bacterial SSU rRNA". It matches the Rfam family "Bacterial small subunit ribosomal RNA", at positions 152 to 810 of the family's 1533-position model. The record is from RNAcentral.